GUGCUCCAUUCAGCAGCACAUAUACUAAAAAUUGGAAUGAUACAGAGAUUAGUAUGGCCUCUGCACAAGGAUAACAGACAAAGUCAUGAAGCAUUUCAUAUUUUC
This is a small nuclear RNA of Grammomys surdaster, 105 nucleotides long. NCBI's taxonomy places the organism in Eukaryota, Metazoa, Chordata, Mammalia, Rodentia, Muridae. The record is from RefSeq and is a predicted model, not a curated record.